This 253-nucleotide ribosomal RNA is filed under the name uncultured bacterium. Its description in RNAcentral is "partial 16S ribosomal RNA". It matches the Rfam family "Bacterial small subunit ribosomal RNA", at positions 524 to 776 of the family's 1533-position model. The record is from RNAcentral.
UACGUCUUUUUCUAUCGUUAAUCGGAAUUACUGGGCGUAAAGCGUGCGCAUGCGGUUUUGUAAGACAGAUGUGAAAUCCCCGGGCUUUACCUGGGAACUGCAUUUGUGACUGCAAGGCUAGAGUACGGCAGAGGGGGGUAGAAUUCCACGUGUAGCAGUGAAAUGCGUAGAUAUGUGGAGGAAUACCGAUGGCGAAGGCAGCCCCCUGGGUCGAUACUGACGCUCAUGCACGAAAGCGUGGGGAGCAAACAGG